RNAcentral lists this ribosomal RNA (253 nucleotides) under uncultured bacterium. RNAcentral's name for it is "partial 16S ribosomal RNA". It matches the Rfam family "Bacterial small subunit ribosomal RNA", at positions 524 to 776 of the family's 1533-position model. The record is from RNAcentral.
UACGGAGGGUGCAAGCAUUAAUCGGAUUUAUUGGGCGUAAAGGGCGCGUAGGCGGAAAUAUAAGUCAGAUGUGAAAUCCUAGGGCUCAACCCUAGAACAGCAUUUGAAACUAUAUUCCUUGAGGGUAGGCGGAGAAAACGGAAUUCCACAUGUAGCGGUGAAAUGCGUAGAUAUGUGGCAGAACAUCGGUGGCGAAGGCGGUUUUCUAGCUUAUUCCUGACGCUGAGGCGCGAAAGUAAGGGGAUCAAACAGG